GAAACUGGGGAUAAUACUGGAUAGGCAAUUUUUCCUGUAAUGGUUUUUUGUUUAAAUGUUUUUUUCGCCUAAGGAUGGGUCUGCGGCCGAUUAGGUAGUUGGUUAGGUAAUGGCUUACCAAGCCGUUGAUCGGUACGGGUUGUGAGAGCAAGAGCCCGGAGAUGGAACCUGAGACAAGGUUCCAGGCCCUACGGGGUGCAGCAGGCGCGAAACCUCCGCAAUGUGAGAAAUCGCGACGGGGGGAUCCCAAGUGCCAUUCUUAACGGGAUGGCUUUUCAUUAGUGUAAAGAGCUUUUGGAAUAAGAGCUGGGCAAGACCGGUGCCAGCCGCCGCGGUAACACCGGCAGCUCUAGUGGUAGCAAUUUUUAUUGGGCCUAAAGCGUCCGUAGCCGGUUUAAUAAGUCUCUGGUGAAAUCCUGCAGCUUAACUGUGGGAAUUGCUGGAGAUACUAUUAGACUUGAGACCGGGAGAGGUUAGAGGUACUCCCAGGGUAGAGGUGAAAUUCUGUAAUCCUGGGAGGACCGCCUGUUGCGAAGGCGUCUAACUGGAACGGUUCUGACGGUGAGGGACGAAAGUUAGGGGCGCGAACCGGAUUAGAUACCCGGGUAGUCCUAACUGUAAACGAUGCGGACUUGGUGUUGGGGUGGCUUUGAGCUGCUUCAGUGCCGAAGGGAAGCUGUUAAGUCCGCCGCCUGGGAAGUACGGUCGCAAGACUGAAACUUAA
This 724-nucleotide ribosomal RNA is filed under the name uncultured archaeon. RNAcentral describes it as "bacterial SSU rRNA". It matches the Rfam family "Archaeal small subunit ribosomal RNA", at positions 136 to 859 of the family's 1478-position model. The record is from RNAcentral.